GGAGCAACAAGUGUGGGCAGUUUGUUUUCUAGAAAUGGACCUGUAGAUACAACUACAUAUGUGAUCCCAUCCAGACCACACCACAUUCAGUCAUCAAGUCUCCUCUUGGCUGUGACAGUCUCUCCGCCUUUCCUUCUUCUUGAUGACUGACAGUUUUGAGGAGUCCUGGCCAGGUGUUUUGUAGAACGUCUCUCAAAUGGGUUUAAACUUGGAAUCAUGUUCAGAGAGCGAUUAGCCAGGGCUAAGUAUGCCUCACUGUCUAGGGCCAUGAAAUGGAACCAUGCCAACUGGCCCUUACUGGAACAGUGAACUUGGACUCUGGCCACUCAGCCAGUCAGCUAUUGACCUGUCAACACAAGCAAGCUUCAACAUUCACCUUCAUUUUAGAACUAUGGUCUCUGUUUCUGAAGAAUGUGACAGCCCUAGCUGGUUUGGCUCAGUGGAUAGAGCAUCUGCCUGCGGACUGAAAGGUCCUGGGUUGGA
Long non-coding RNA from Eptesicus fuscus (big brown bat), 483 nucleotides. RefSeq lists it as uncharacterized. The record is from RefSeq and is a predicted model, not a curated record. NCBI's taxonomy places the organism in Eukaryota, Metazoa, Chordata, Mammalia, Chiroptera, Vespertilionidae. The transcript has 4 exons.